This 445-nucleotide ribosomal RNA is filed under the name uncultured bacterium. RNAcentral describes it as "bacterial SSU rRNA". It matches the Rfam family "Bacterial small subunit ribosomal RNA", at positions 354 to 796 of the family's 1533-position model. The record is from RNAcentral.
GUAAGGAAUAUUGGGCAAUGGACGCAAGUCUGACCCAGCCAUGCCGCGUGCAGGAUGACUGCCCUAUGGGUUGUAAACUGCUUUUAUACGGGAAAAAAAUAUCCGACGUGUCGGAAGCUGAUGGUACCGUAUGAAUAAGCAUCGGCUAACUCCGUGCCAGCAGCCGCGGUAAUACGGAGGAUGCAAGCGUUAUCCGGAUUUAUUGGGUUUAAAGGGUGCGCAGGCGGAAUGAUAAGUCAGUGGUGAAAGCUUCCGGCUCAACCGGAAAAUUGCCAUUGAUACUAUCGUUCUUGAGUACAGUUGAGGUAGGCGGAAUGUGUCAUGUAGCGGUGAAAUGCUUAGAUAUGACACAGAACACCGAUAGCGAAGGCAGCUUACCAAAUUGAAACUGACGCUCAUGCACGAAAGCGUGGGGAUCAAACAGGAUUAGAAACCCUAGUAGUCC